This 283-nucleotide long non-coding RNA is filed under the name Populus trichocarpa (black cottonwood). Its description in RNAcentral is "long non-coding RNA (PTRI_LNC001742)". Lineage: Eukaryota; Viridiplantae; Streptophyta; Magnoliopsida; Malpighiales; Salicaceae. The record is from RNAcentral.
UUCAAUGUUGACAAGGACCUUGCAGUUGUCAGCAUCGAGGCCAACGUCAGCUGAUGUGAAGCCAAUGCCUCUGCAAGUAUCCCGGACAAUUUUCUCGUAGUCCACGUUAGCCUUGGUUGUGAUCUCACCAAAGACCAUGACCAUGUUAGUCUUUGAGCAGGUCUCACAGGCAACCUUGCUCUCAGGAUCUUGCGCAAGGCAGGCAUCAAGGAUGGCAUCCGAGACCUGGUCACAAAGCUUGUCUGGGUGGCCUUCAUUUACAGACUCAGAGGUGAAUAGGAAG